AGAGUUUGAUUCUGGCUCAGGACGAACGCUGGCGGCGUGCCUAAUACAUGCAAGUCGAGCGAGCUGAACCAGCAGAUUCACUUCGGUGAUGACGCUGGGAACGCGAGCGGCGGAUGGGUGAGUAACACGUGGGUAACCUGCCCUAAAGUCUGGGAUACCACUUGGAAACAGGUGCUAAUACCGGAUAACAACAAUAGCUGCAUGGCUAUUGCUUAAAAGGCGGCGAAAGCUGUCGCUAAAGGAUGGACCCGCGGUGCAUUAGCUAGUUGGUAAGGUAAUGGCUUACCAAGGCGACGAUGCAUAGCCGAGUUGAGAGACUGAUCGGCCACAUUGGGACUGAGACACGGCCCAAACUCCUACGGGAGGCAGCAGUAGGGAAUCUUCCACAAUGGGCGAAAGCCUGAUGGAGCAACGCCGCGUGAGUGAAGAAGGUUUUCGGAUCGUAAAGCUCUGUUGUUGGUGAAGAAGGAUAGAGGUAGUAACUGGCCCCUAUUUGACGGUAAUCAACCAGAAAGUCACGGCUAACUACGUGCCAGCAGCCGCGGUAAUACGUAGGUGGCAAGCGUUGUCCGGAUUUAUUGGGCGUAAAGCGAGCGC
This 597-nucleotide ribosomal RNA is filed under the name uncultured bacterium. Its description in RNAcentral is "bacterial SSU rRNA". It matches the Rfam family "Bacterial small subunit ribosomal RNA", at positions 8 to 572 of the family's 1533-position model. The record is from RNAcentral.